This 517-nucleotide ribosomal RNA is filed under the name uncultured bacterium. RNAcentral's name for it is "bacterial SSU rRNA". It matches the Rfam family "Bacterial small subunit ribosomal RNA", at positions 773 to 1291 of the family's 1533-position model. The record is from RNAcentral.
ACGUAAUAGAUACCCGGGUAGUCCAUGCCGUAAACGUUGGGAACUAGGUGUGGGUCUCAUUCCACGAGAUCCGUGCCGCAGCUAAACGCAUUAAGUUCCCCGCCUGGGGAGUACGGCCGCAAGGCUAAAACUCAAAGGAAUUGACGGGGGCCCGCACAAGCGGCGGAGCAUGCGGAUUAAAUUCGAUGCAACGCGAAGAACCUUACCAAGGCUUGACAUGCACCGGAAUCACUCAGAGAUGGGUGCGUCUUCGGACUGGUGUACAGGUGGUGCAUGGUUGUCGUCAGCUCGUGUCGUGAGAUGUUGGGUUAAAGUCCCGCAACGAGCGCAACCCUCGUUCUAUGUUGCCAGCACGUGAUGGUGGGGACUCAUAGGAGACUGCCGGGGUCAACUCGGAGAAGUGGGGAUGACGUCAAAUCAUCAUGCCCCUUAUGUCUUGGGCUUCACGCAUGCUACAAUGGCCGGUACAAAGGGCUGCGAAACCGCGAGGUGGAGCGAAUCCCAAAAACGGUCUCAG